This 301-nucleotide ribosomal RNA is filed under the name uncultured bacterium. RNAcentral describes it as "partial 16S ribosomal RNA". It matches the Rfam family "Bacterial small subunit ribosomal RNA", at positions 509 to 807 of the family's 1533-position model. The record is from RNAcentral.
CAGCAGCCACGGGAAUACGAAGGGUGCAAGCGUUAAUCGGAAUUACUGGGCGUAAAGCGUGCGUAGGCGGUGAGUUAAGUCUGCUGUGAAAUCCCCGGGCUCAACCUGGCAAUGGCAGUGGAUACUGGCUCGCUAGAGUGUGUCAGAGGAUGGUGGAAUUCCCGGUGUAGCGGUGAAAUGCGUAGAGAUCGGGAGGAACAUCAGUGGCGAAGGCGGCCAUCUGGGACAACACUGACGCUGAGGCACGAAAGCGUGGGGAGCAAACAGGAUUAGAUACCCGCGUAGUCCCUGUCUCUUAUAC